This 439-nucleotide ribosomal RNA is filed under the name uncultured bacterium. RNAcentral describes it as "partial 16S ribosomal RNA". It matches the Rfam family "Bacterial small subunit ribosomal RNA", at positions 339 to 795 of the family's 1533-position model. The record is from RNAcentral.
CUACGGGCGGCAGCAGUAAGGAAUAUUGCACAAUGGGGGGAACCCUGAUGCAGCAACGCCGCGUGGAGGAUGACGCAUUUCGGUGUGUAAACUCCUUUUAUAUGUCAAGAAAAUGACGGUAGCAUAUGAAUAAGCACCGGCUAACUCCGUGCCGGCAGCCGCGGUAAUACGGAGGGUGCAAGCGUUACUCGGAAUCACUGGGCGUAAAGGACGCGUAGGCGGGUUGGAAAGUCAGGUGUGAAAUCCUACAGCUUAACUGUAGAACUGCACUUGAAACUUCUAAUCUAGAGUAUGGGAGGGGGAGAUGGAAUUAGUGGUGUAGGGGUAAAAUCCGUAGAUAUCACUAGGAAUACCUAAAGCGAAGGCGAUCUCCUGGAACAUUACUGACGCUAAGGCGUGAAAGCGUGGGGAGCAAACAGGAUUAGAUACCCGGGUAGUC